UGAGGAAUAUUGCGCAAUGGGGGAACCCUGACGCAGCAAUGCCGCGUGAAGGACGAAGGUUUUCGGAUUGUAAACUUCUUUUCUUGAGGACGAUAAUGACGGUACUCAAAGAAUAAGCCACGGCUAACUACGUGCCAGCAGCCGCGGUAAUACGUAGGUGGCAAGCGUUGUCCGGAUUUACUGGGUGUAAAGGGCGAGUAGGCGGGUUUGCAAGUCAGAUGUGAAAUGCAGGGGCUUAACCCCUGAGCUGCAUUUGAAACUGUAGAUCUUGAGUGAUGGAGAGGCAGGCGGAAUUCCCGGUGUAGCGGUGGAAUGCGUAGAUAUCGGGAGGAACACCAGUGGCGAAGGCGGCCUGCUGGACAUUAACUGACGCUGAGGAGCGAAAGCGUGGGGAGCAAACAGGAUUAGAUACC
RNAcentral lists this ribosomal RNA (413 nucleotides) under uncultured bacterium. RNAcentral's name for it is "bacterial SSU rRNA". It matches the Rfam family "Bacterial small subunit ribosomal RNA", at positions 355 to 786 of the family's 1533-position model. The record is from RNAcentral.